Molecule: ribosomal RNA, 97 nt
Filed under: uncultured bacterium
Lineage: Bacteria
Description: partial 16S ribosomal RNA
Rfam family: Bacterial small subunit ribosomal RNA
Source: RNAcentral
CCGCCCGUCACAGCAUGGGAGUUGGUUUCACCUUAAGCCGGUGUGCUAACCUAGCAAUAGGAGGCAGCCGACCACGGUGGGGUCAAUGACUGGGCUG